Heterocephalus glaber (naked mole-rat) is the source of this 5228-nucleotide non-coding RNA. Lineage: Eukaryota; Metazoa; Chordata; Mammalia; Rodentia; Bathyergidae. The record is from RefSeq and is a predicted model, not a curated record.
CCCGCCCCUAUUUUUAUUCUUUUACUUAUAUUUUUAUGUUUACUACUGUGAAUUCUCUUCUGAUAACUCAUUUCAUUGUAUUCCUUAGGUUCUUACUGUCAUUUUUUCCUAUAUUUUUGUAUAUCUACUUUUACCCAAUUUCUGUUAAUUUUUAAAUUUCUGUUGCAAAGUUUUUUCGUAUCUUCAAAUGCUUGAUUAUUUGUAACUCUGAUAGAGAUGUGGCCUUAUAGUUUUCUUCAGCUUCAUGGUAAUUUUUCUGAGUGAAAUGUUACUUGGUUGAUGUGCAUAUGGAAUUUCAUUUUCUAGUUUUUAACAUUAACUGUGGAUUGGUUAGUUGUUCUCUUGCUUGUUUUUGUGAUCGUGGCAUGUUUUCCAGGUUUGUGUGAUGGUGCGUUCUCUGACAACAUAGCAAUGUCCAUAUUCCAAUAAAUGUCUUAGGUUUGUUUGGUGAUCUGAAUCCCCAGUUUUAUAAUUCUCUAUUGUCUUCUACCCUUUCCUUCCCUCUGACCAGUGAAUCAUUGAAGAGCAUGCAGGAAGGUCCUGGCACCCUUGGACCUACCCAGGUCUUUCCCUUUCUCUCUUGUAGUUCUCAAGAAUCUGCUAUAGAAUAUGUGGAGUAUACGGUAUCCUGAGACUUGCGCAGACUGGCCAGGAUGCCCAGGCUCCCUUCCAGUCCUCCCUAGAGACAGCAUGCUCUUCACUGCUCCAGCCCAGCAUGUCACUGGACCCUAGGUUAAAACCCAGGACAGGCUGCUUUCUUGGGUCCCUCAUGAGCAGUCCAACUUGGGCUCAUAUAGUCAAGACUUCCAGGCCACAUUCCUGAAAUGUGAGGACAGCCUGGCAGUGACCCCAAGCCGCUGUGCUUGCAGCCUGAGAGCACCUUGUUUGUGGCAUUCUCUCACCAGACUCUACGCGCCCCUGGCUGGUGCACAGUGAAGCUCUUCAAGGGGAGUUCUUGUCUGCUUUGCCUCUUGCAGAAGCUUCUUCAAAUCACAUGGCUUUUAGGUCCCUUCCUUGUGGUGAAUGUUCCAAUCCACCUGAAUCAUUUCUGUAAACUUUCAUACUCGGAAUCCUCUUUGUCUUUCUGGUGAGAGAUUUAUAUUGUACACAGGACCAGUCUUAGUUCCCCUGUGUGCCUAACCCAUGGAUUUGUUUGAUCAGCCCUGCAACGGUGGGAACACAAGGUAUCUGCACUGGGAUGGGGUGGUUGACUUGUUUUAUGUAGUUAUUUUGAAUUUGGACAUUUCUGUGUCAUCAAGUUAUGAGGGCAGGGUUUUUGUAUGGAUUCAUUUUCCUUCAUACUGUUGUUUAUUGUUGAGGAAGGAAAUGAGGAGAUGGGAACUAUGGUGUACCUUUGUUUAAAGCUCAAUUGAUUCUACUUUUAUGGUUUAUUCUAAUGCAGAUAUGAAUGUGUUCUCAACACACAUCUGUCUGAAAAUUCUAAAAAAAUACAAGGAACAUUUUAAAAUUCUGUAUUUUGUUGAGGUUUUAGUGCCUAUUAAUUACACAGAAUAAUUGGUCUCAUUUUGGCAUAUUUGCACAUGCACAGGAGAUAUUUUACUUCCACCCACCCAUUACUCCCCCCUUGCCCUUCCCUCCCUUCUCUCCCUGACUCCCUUAAAAAUACAAAAGAAACAUAUGGUUCAUUAUAAUGUGGAUAUACACACAUUCUGUGGUAGCUAAAUAUUUAUACCCCUCUGCCCCUGCAGAUUCUUGUGUUUAAGCUUGACCCUCAUAUGAUAGCAUUUGGGGAUGGGGCUUUGGGAGGUGAAUGGGAUUACAUGAGCAGGUCCUUACCUACCCUAAGUGAGGACUUCAUGAUAUUGAUGUCCUUAUAAGAAGAGACACCAGGGAGCACCCUCCUUCUCUGCCCUCACACAAAGAAAUGGUCAUGUAAAUACAGUCUGGUGGCUUCUGCAUAAGUGCCAAGGAACAAAGGCUGACAGGGAAACUUCACUGGCACCUUGACCCAGGGCUACCAGGCUUCAGAACUGUGAGAAAUGCAUUUCUGUUGUUUAAGCUUCCCUAGUCCAGGGUAUUUUGUUAUAUCAGCCCCAGCAGACUUACACACAUUUGCAAGCACACACACACACUCAACUGUGUGCACAUCUGUGUAUCAAUUUAUCAUGUUAACCUAAAUUAAGAGAGAUUCUCUGAAAAUUAGGUUUACUUAGGAGUAGCAAAGCAUUACAAUGGAAAUGCACUUAUUCAGAGAGGUUGAGGGAAGGGAGAAUUUUAAAGGCAAAAUGAGGAGGAUUCCUUAAGAUGUAUUGAAAUCAUAAUUUAUGGCCACAGGGAUUAAUAUCAAGGACCCUGCCUUGAACAGACAGUUGCUGCACAGACAUUCUUGUGAGUAUUUCCCAGUGAGUGAGGCUGUGGUGGCCUCCGAGCAGGGCUGCGGUGCUGGCCUCUCUGAUGAUUGUUACUGUCAGCCACUGUGGGUAAGAAACUACCUUCCAUACCUCCUGGUUCUGUCCAGUUAGUUUUUGUUAGGCUGGACACAGAGCAUCUCCAUUUUGAUUCCGACAACUUUUCAUAAUCACAACUUUUUUUACUAUAGUGAAAAACUGUAUUGAUGAAUAAAUCUUACUAGAGGGUUACACAAAUCAAUUGAUUAUGGCAAAUAUAUUUUGGAGUUUCAUCUAGUAGUACAAAGCAAUGUAUGUCUUUAUUUAUUGAUAUAAAAAUAUAAACAGUAUAUUUAAAAAGCAGUUUAUAAAACAGCUCACAAAGUAUACUCCCAUUUUAUUAAAAAUUUUUUAGAAGGAAAUAUACCCCAAAUAUUGAGAAUAGCUUCUAUUGGGUUUAGGAUUAUACAUAGUUUUUAUUUUAUUUUAUAUUUUUCUAUGUUGUCUAUUUUUCCAUAAGUAACUAUUUUUAUAAUAAAUAUUUUCAUUUGAAAGAAGCAAAAAGCACUGAAUGGAAGUUUAGGGGCAGAGGGUGUAGCUCAGUGAUAGAAAACUUGCCUGGCCUGCAAGAGGUCCUGGAUUCAAUCCCCAGCACCACAAAAGGAGAAAAUUUAUAUAAAUAAGUCCAUUUCAGAGGGAAAUGUAUUUUUCUAGAAAUUAAUGUAUCUGGGGGUUAAAAGCAAAGAGCCACUCUCUAGGAGGGUUGCCAGAUCUAGCAAGUACAAACUCAGAGUCCCUGUCUUAAGGCUGAGUUGCUCUGUUCUGUGUGUUUGAGAUUCUCAGCGUCCUGCUGGGUGGAAGCAGCCCUCGCCUCCUUCCACGUGAGGGGGAAGCAGCGACCCUCACAGAGGAUGGCCGACUUUCCAGAGUUCUCUUGCACUCAGAUGGCAGGCAGGACCCCAGCUUGGUUUUGGGCAGUCCACACUGCCUUGUGCUGUCCGUUCUCUGAUGGCAAAGGCCACUGACAGUUAUGGUAGAUGGGCCCAAUCAGCGUCCUUCCUGUCUUAUCAUCCAGCUUGAAGGCUUCAUUCCAAAGCCAACCUCUGCUGCAUCAACUGGAUGGAAACAUGGUUCUCUGGCCCAGAGUGCUUUAUGUACUGAAGCUGACGAAAUCCUGUAUUCCCAUCUGUCAGCAGCACUUAAUUUGGAACAACCUGGAACUUGAAGAUGAUUAUUGCUUGAAUGAUUACAACGUUUCAGAAGAUUGUACCUUGAAGCUGGUUUUGGCCAUGCGUGGUGGACCUAUAAAUACUAGAAAAGUUCCCAUGGAAGACCCGCUUAGGGAGAUGGCCAAGUACAUGGACCCCAGUCAAGAUGAGGUCUGGGAGAAGGCCUCCUGCAGCAGACAAGUUCCGUUCUUGGUUUACCGAGAAGGAGACCAGUUGAAUUUCUUUUAUGUAGUAGAUAGGGGAGAUGGCACUUUAACACCAUUAUCUGAAUCUUUAAGGUGUGGUUGACCUGGAGGCAAAGGCCACCACCCAUCAGGUACUAUAAGCUGUAAGUCUGUCACUCAUUUGGGGCACAACAUGCUGCAGUUAAGCUAUGGUCUGGUGCUUGGGGAAGCAACCGGAAGCGGUAAGAAGGAUCAACUUUGGAACCAGACCAAGGGGCACUUGGAUCUUGGGUGCUCCCAUCUGCCAGCUUUCUGGUCGCAAGACAAAUCGCUUAACCUCUCUAGCUGCAGUUUCUUCAUUUAAAAUGGGAUAUAAAGUCUGUCUUCUGUAGUUGUACAAGAAUUAGGGAAAUGUGUGGAAAGCGCCUGGCAGAGUCGGCAUUCGGUACCAACAGGCAGUGUUUUGCUGGUGUCAGUUCUCAUUCAGAGCCAUCAGCAUCACUGGGAAGCUACACUAGGUAGCUAGUGGCAGUUGCUGGUCAGUUCCUGCUUUGUCCCUUCUGACACUCAUGCCUGUGUGCAUGUAAUUAACCCACAAUCUCAAAACAUCAUCCGUUUCACCCCAGAAAGUUUAAGAAUGUCCACCAUAUGUUCUGCCCAUGUGCUGUGUCCUUCAGAAGCAUUUAUGGAAUGUGCCCUGUAUGUAUGUCCUGGGAAUGUCCCCAUGUUUUACACCACACAGAACAAGAAUUGUUAUGCUCCAUGCCUUUGUAGCACAACUACAUGCUCUACUAUUCAUGUGAGUACUUCAGGUGCAGUGACUAGUAAGUAUUCUUAUUCUGCUCUGUUUAAAGUUUGAAUCAUUUUCCAAAUAGGCUGAGUGCUGUGUGAGACAGCAUACGGAGGGCCAGUGAGAAUUUACCAGGGCAAGGAUAAUGGUAACAUUAAGGGUUUAUCCUGGUCAGAGUACACUGUCAAGAGGGACAACAGACAAGUUCUAAGAGAGGAAGCAUGCCUUCGGGGUGAGAAAUUGGGGGUUUUGUGAAAGUUUGAGGAUGUGGAAACAGUCUAGGCAGCAGAUAUGAUUAUCUAAAGAAUAUCUUUUUCCAGAUCAUCUAGGACCUUCUAGAACUUCCAGGAGCACCUGCAUUGUGACUAAAAUUGUAUGUUUGAAGUUGCAGUUUAACAAGACCACUUCCUUGAGGGCUCACAGAAGGAAGGCCUUUUAGUUUCAGAUAGAGACUUGUACACAUUAACUUUUAGAGAAGCGGUGGUUCUGUGUACAAUUUGUGUACAGAUGAGGAUGGGGAGGUGGACCUUUCUCCUUCUGGGCAAAAGACCACUGAAAAUUCAAUAACUAUGAAUAAGAUGAAGCUGCUGAAGGCGAAGAUGGAGAGCAUGAACCUCGGCAGAAAGGUAACACAGUGCCGGCCAGGCUUUCUCUAGCUUACCCUGGAAGGGCUGGGUCACAGGGGGAGUGGACAAAG